Long non-coding RNA from Venturia canescens, 848 nucleotides. RefSeq lists it as uncharacterized. Lineage: Eukaryota; Metazoa; Arthropoda; Insecta; Hymenoptera; Ichneumonidae. The transcript is spliced from 2 exons. The record is from RefSeq and is a predicted model, not a curated record.
UACCAGCGGAUAUCAAUGACAAAAAAGUCCUAUUAAUCCCGAUGCAUUAUGCCGAAUAUUAACGAAUUUAGCAUAUUUCGUUAAUCGGUUUAUGCAACGAAUGAGAAUUAUGUCAUCGAUAUAGAAUAAUAGAGAUUGAGCGAGUGCAUACGUAAUAGAAGAUUGAACGCUGAAAAAGCCUCCCUGAACGAUUGAGUAGGAAGAAAAAAAAUGAUAGAAUUGAUGAUAAAACGGAAAAAAAUGGUGAGAAAGAUUGGCCGGUGAAAAAAAUUUUUUAGGUUAAAGCUUUAAUUAGUUCAAUAAAUGCUUCGAGGGAAAGUUAAAAAUCGCAAAAAAAUGAGAUUGUAGUCAAAGUUACGCGGGUACACAACGCACACAGGGAGAAAACGUGGGAGCGCACGCGCGCGCGUCUCUUUUGGCGGUCACCUCUGCGAUGCAUUGACAUUAGUUACGUAAAAUACGUUUAUUUUCGUGUUGAAUAAACGAGAAAUGAUAAGCAUAACGGGGAGUGAAGGAUUCGUUCAAAGUUUCGUUACAGUCAGUGGAAAUUUUGCCACUGGCUGUGACUAUGAACCAUGAGGGAAAUGGAUGGACGAAAGGGAUAACCGACACGCACUGUCGUGUCGAACCGCGGCCGAAGGACGGUCGGACGUGAACUGAGCGUGAACCAGACUCGGGCAAAUGCUCGUGUCUGCUACAUACCUCGUGCGAGAUACCGCCUCACUUGUAUAGAUAUAUAUCCCAUAGAAGGUGAUAUAAAAUAUAUGUUCGAUUUUCUCGUUCCGAAUUCAAUCAUUUUUUUUUCAAACUGUGUACGCACCGAUAAAAUUAUCCAAUAUUUUUAGGAA